Solanum pennellii is the source of this 521-nucleotide long non-coding RNA. RefSeq lists it as uncharacterized. Lineage: Eukaryota; Viridiplantae; Streptophyta; Magnoliopsida; Solanales; Solanaceae. The record is from RefSeq and is a predicted model, not a curated record. The transcript is spliced from 3 exons.
CACGCCUCUCUCUUCCUUUUUUUUUUUUGAUUUUAGAAAUUGAAUAAUGUAUGUUAUAAAGAUCUUUACACAAUUCAUUUGAUUAAGAAUCUAAGAUAUUCACAAGAAUCCCAUUGAUUGAGUGUUUUGGAUAAGGAAAACAUCAAGGAUCCUCUGUAAUGACCCUCUAAGAGGAUUAUAAGUGGUAUCCCACUUAAUCAUCAAUUUUCUAGAUCCAAGCAUAUACAAGGCUGACCAUUACUAUUAACCAGUAUCGGCAGAAUGUUGGCGUUGUUGGUGUUUCUCGCCACCGAUCUCACAGUCAUCGAUCACUCAGAACACAAAUUAAAUGACAACAAAUUUUGUAGUUUUAUUUUGCUCAUUUUGUAUUUCAGUGUCACAAUGUAAACAUACAAGUUUGUAUUUCUUUUUAUUUUGUAUUCAUAGUAAUGGUAUACCAACAAGUUUGUAUUCCAAUAGAGUUGAGUAUCAUUUGUGCCCUUUGUUGUAUUUCAAUCUCGCUUUUUAUGUGAAACUUAAUU